CGGGGGCACGGGGGGCCUACGGGAGGCAGCAGUGGGGAAUUUUGGACAAUGGGCGCAAGCCUGAUCCAGCCAUGCCGCGUGCAGGAUGAAGGCCUUCGGGUUGUAAACUGCUUUUGUACGGAACGAAACGGCCUUUUCUAAUAAAGAGGGCUAAUGACGGUACCGAAGAAUAGACCAAUCCCG
Molecule: ribosomal RNA, 183 nt
Filed under: uncultured bacterium
Lineage: Bacteria
Description: partial 16S ribosomal RNA
Rfam family: Bacterial small subunit ribosomal RNA
Source: RNAcentral